AGUAGGCUUCGGUCUAUGAGUAGAGCGGCGCACGGGUGAGUAACGCGUGGAUGAUCUACCCUUGAGUUCGGGAUAACGGUGCGAAAGCGCCGCUAAUACCGUAUAACAAUCCAUUUCAUCGUGGGUUCAAAGCAGGCCUCUUCGUGAAAGCUUGUGCUUGGGGAUGAGUCCGCGUCCCAUUAGCUUGUUGGCGGGGUAACGGCCCACCAAGGCUACGAUGGGUAGCUGGUCUGAGAGGAUGAUCAGCCACACUGGAACUGAAACACGGUCCAGACUCCUACGGGAGGCAGCAGUGGGGAAUAUUGCGCAAUGGGGGAAACCCUGACGCAGCGACGUCGUGUGAGGGAAGAAGGCCUUCGGGUCGUAAACCUCUGUCAGAAGGGAAGAACAUCCGGGAGUCGAACAGCCUCCCGGCCUGACGGUACCUUCAGAGGAAGCGCCGGCUAACUCCGUGCCAGCAGCCGCGGUAAUACGGAGGGCGCAAGCGUUAAUCGGAAUCACUGGGCGUAAAGCGUGCGUAGGCUGUUUGAUAAGUCAGACGUGAAAUCCCUCGGCUCAACCGGGGAACUGCGUUUGAUACUG
This 582-nucleotide ribosomal RNA is filed under the name uncultured bacterium. RNAcentral describes it as "bacterial SSU rRNA". It matches the Rfam family "Bacterial small subunit ribosomal RNA", at positions 72 to 635 of the family's 1533-position model. The record is from RNAcentral.